RNAcentral lists this ribosomal RNA (264 nucleotides) under uncultured bacterium. RNAcentral's name for it is "partial 16S ribosomal RNA". It matches the Rfam family "Bacterial small subunit ribosomal RNA", at positions 333 to 590 of the family's 1533-position model. The record is from RNAcentral.
UCAGCCUACGGGGCGCAGCAGUAGCGAAUCUUCCACAAUGGGCGAAAGCCUGAUGGAGCAACGCCGCGUGGGUGAAGAAGGUCUUCGGAUCGUAAAACCCUGUUGUUAGAGAAGAAAGUGCGUGAGAGUAACUGUUCACAUUUCGACGGUAUCUAACCAGAAAGCCACGGCUAACUACGUGCCAGCAGCCGCGGUAAUACGUAGGUGGCAAGCGUUAUCCGGAUUUAUUGGGCGUAAAGGGAACGCAGGCGGCAUUUUAAGUCU